CCAACAGGGAUUGCCUCAGUAACGGCGAGUGAAGCGGCAACAGCUCAAAUUUGAAAUCUGGCCCUUUCAGGGUCCGAGUUGUAAUUUGUAGAAGAUGCUUCGGGUGUGGCUCCGGUCUAAGUUCCUUGGAACAGGACGUCAUAGAGGGUGAGAAUCCCGUCUGUGACCGGUCGCCUUCGCCCAUGUGAAGCUCUUUCGACGAGUCGAGUUGUUUGGGAAUGCAGCUCAAAAUGGGUGGUAAAUUUCAUCUAAAGCUAAAUAUUGGCCAGAGACCGAUAGCGCACAAGUAGAGUGAUCGAAAGAUGAAAAGCACUUUGGAAAGAGAGUUAAACAGUACGUGAAAUUGUUGAAAGGGAAGCGCUUGCAACCAGACUUGCGCGCGGUCGAUCAUCCGGUGUUCUCACCGGUGCACUCGGCCGCGCUCAGGCCAGCAUCGGUCUGGGUGGUUGGAUAAAGGCCUGGGGAAUGUGGCUCCUCUCGGGGAGUGUUAUAGCCCCAGGUGCAAUGCAGCCUACCUGGACCGAGGACCGCGCUUCGGCUAGGAUGCUGGCGUAAUGGUUGUAAGCGGCCC
This 571-nucleotide ribosomal RNA is filed under the name Amorphotheca resinae (creosote fungus). RNAcentral describes it as "LSU rRNA". It matches the Rfam family "Eukaryotic large subunit ribosomal RNA", at positions 65 to 650 of the family's 3401-position model. Lineage: Eukaryota; Fungi; Ascomycota; Leotiomycetes; Helotiales; Amorphothecaceae. RNAcentral also lists the same sequence under 1 other name. The record is from RNAcentral.